Molecule: long non-coding RNA, 790 nt
Filed under: Cicer arietinum (chickpea)
Lineage: Eukaryota; Viridiplantae; Streptophyta; Magnoliopsida; Fabales; Fabaceae
Description: long non-coding RNA (CARI_LNC002647)
Source: RNAcentral
UGUAAACCUUUACAAGUACUGGUAUUUAUAAGCAAAUGCUAAUCCUAUUGGCCAUAAGUUGUAGCCUACAAAAAUAUAGUCUUGCUCGGCUACAUGGAUAAUAUGUGAUACCUUCCACCUCUUGAAAUUUGUGGCACCCGCGAUUGAGUUGUCUUUCAUAUUGCUAUAGAGAAUGUGGAGUUGAAUUUGAAUAAACAACCAACAAUUCUUGAGGAAAAAGAACUCUAAUUAAAAAAGGAGCAUCAUGAAAUUCCUGGACAAGAGACCACUAUUGUAGUUGAAGCAACUACCACCACACAAAUUUAAAAUAACAAAGUGUAUUGCUUACAAAAAGCCAAGAAUGAGGAGAGGCAAAAUCAAGCAAUACAUACCUGAAAAGAGUACGAGUUAAGAAGAAGAGGAAGCAUAAGAGGAUGGAGAGGAUGUUGUGAUUUAUGAGUCACGUGGUCUAGUGACUUAUAAAACGAAAAGAGAAAUAGAAAAAGUCAUUUCACCACCUAAGAAUGUCAUACCAAAGGUGGCCCCUCCUCCAACCCAAAGAAUUUUGAGGGAGAAGACUUGUGUGCAGUUGUGGUUGAGGAGAAAACUACGACUUGAGGGAUCAUCAACUGGAAAUGAGAUCUAAUUGGGUGAUGAUUCAAAUGAUGCAGCAUGUGUUGAAGCUAGAAGGGAUACAAACCUCUGAAUAGUGUUGUAGCUUGCUCUAGCAUUAUUCUGGGUAGUAAGUGCUCUAACAACUUUUGAUAUUCCUUUUUGUUUAGAUAUUUUUUAUUAGUAUUUAACAUUAGAG